GAUGAACGCUAGCUACAGGCUUAACACAUGCAAGUCGAGGGGCAUCAGGAAGAAAGCUUGCUUUCUUUGCUGGCGACCGGCGCACGGGUGAGUAACACGUAUCCAACCUGCCCUUUACUCGGGGAUAGCCUUUCGAAAGAAAGAUUAAUACCCGAUAGCAUAAUGAUUCCGCAUGGUUUCAUUAUUAAAGGAUUCCGGUAAAGGAUGGGGAUGCGUUCCAUUAAGUUGUUGGUGAGGUAACGGCUCACCAAGCCUUCGAUGGAUAGGGGUUCUGAGAGGAAGGUCCCCCACAUUGGAACUGAGACACGGUCCAAACUCCUACGGGAGGCAGCAGUGAGGAAUAUUGGUCAAUGGGCGCUAGCCUGAACCAGCCAAGUAGCGUGAAGGAUGAAGGCUCUAUGGGUCGUAAACUUCUUUUAUAUAAGAAUAAAGUGCAGUAUGUAUACUGUUUUGUAUGUAUUAUAUGAAUAAGGAUCGGCUAACUCCGUGCCAGCAGCCGCGGUAAUACGGAGGAUCCGAGCGUUAUCCGGAUUUAUUGGGU
RNAcentral lists this ribosomal RNA (541 nucleotides) under uncultured Bacteroidales bacterium. Its description in RNAcentral is "bacterial SSU rRNA". It matches the Rfam family "Bacterial small subunit ribosomal RNA", at positions 28 to 559 of the family's 1533-position model. Lineage: Bacteria; Pseudomonadati; Bacteroidota; Bacteroidia; Bacteroidales. The record is from RNAcentral.